Molecule: small RNA, 114 nt
Filed under: Cavia porcellus (domestic guinea pig)
Lineage: Eukaryota; Metazoa; Chordata; Mammalia; Rodentia; Caviidae
Description: Y RNA (ENSCPOG00000028087.2)
Source: RNAcentral
GGCUGCCAUGGGCUGAGCAGCUUCCCUCUACCACGCCCUUCUAUCAAGAUCACAACCAGUUACAGAUUUCUUUGUUCCUUCUCCACUCCCACUGCUUCACUUGACUAGCCUUAA